AGGCCUACAGGCUGCAUCUCACUGUAGUAGGCUGCAUCUCACUGUAGUAGACUGUAUCUCACUGUAGUAGGCUGUAGGCUAUAUCUCACUGUAGUAGGCUGCAUCUCACUGUAGUAGGCUGCAUCUCACUGUAGUAGGCUGCAUCUCACUGUAGUAGGCUGCAUCUCACUGUAGUAGGCUGUUGGCUGCAUCUCACUGUAGUAGACUGUAGGCUGCAUCUCACUGUAGUAGGCUGCAUCUCACUGUAGUAGGCUGUUGGCUGCAUCUCACUGUAGUAGACAGUAGGCAGUAUCUCACUGUAGUAGGCUGUAGGCUGCAUCUCACUGUAGAAGACUGUAGACUGCAUCUCACUGUUGUAGACUGUAGGCUGCAACUCACUGUAGUAGGCUGCAUCUCACUGUAGUAGGCUGUAGGCUGCAUCUCACUGUAGUAGGCUGCAUCUCACUGUAGUAGACUGUAGGCUGCAUCUCACUGUAGUAGACUGUAGGCUGCAUCUCACUGUAGUAGACUGUAGGCUGCAUCUCACUGUAGUAGCCUGUAGACUGCAUCUCAUUGUAGUAGGCUGUAAGCUGCAUCUCAUUGUAGUAGCCUGUAGACUGCAUCUCAUUGUAGUAGGCUGUAGGCUGUAGGCUGCAUCUCACUGUAGUAGACUGUAGGCUGUAGGCUGCAUCUCACUGUAGUAGGCCGUAGGCUGCAUCUCACUGUAGUAGACUGCAUCUCACUGCUGUAGGCUGCAUCUCACUGUAGUAGGCCGUAGGCUGCAUCUCAUUGUAGUAGGCUGUAGGCUGCAUCUCACUGCUGUAGUCUGUAUCUCACUGUAGUAGGCUGUAGUCUGUAUCUCACUGUGGUAGGCUGCAUCUCACU
RNAcentral lists this long non-coding RNA (864 nucleotides) under Salmo salar (Atlantic salmon). RNAcentral describes it as "lncRNA (ENSSSAG00000108593.1)". The record is from RNAcentral. Lineage: Eukaryota; Metazoa; Chordata; Actinopteri; Salmoniformes; Salmonidae.